CGUACACUCCUACGGGAGGCAGCAGUGGGGAAUAUUGCACAAUGGGCGCAAGCCUGAUGCAGCCAUGCCGCGUGUAUGAAGAAGGCCUUCGGGUUGUAAAGUACUUUCAGCGGGGAGGAAGGCAAUACGGUUAAUAACCGUGUUGAUUGACGUUACCCGCAGAAGAAGCACCGGCUAACUCCGUGCCAGCAGCCGCGGUAAUACGGAGGGUGCAAGCGUUAAUCGGAAUUACUGGGCGUAAAGCGCACGCAGGCGGUCUGUCAAGUCGGAUGUGAAAUCCCCGGGCUCAACCUGGGAACUGCAUUCGAAACUGGCAGGCUUGAGUCUUGUAGAGGGGGGUAGAAUUCCAGGUGUAGCGGUGAAAUGCGUAGAGAUCUGGAGGAAUACCGGUGGCGAAGGCGGCCCCCUGGACAAAGACUGACGCUCAGGUGCGAAAGCGUGGGGAGCAAACAGGAUUAGAAACCCUAGUAGUCCC
Molecule: ribosomal RNA, 475 nt
Filed under: uncultured organism
Description: partial 16S ribosomal RNA
Rfam family: Bacterial small subunit ribosomal RNA
Source: RNAcentral